GAUGAACGCUGGCGGCGUGCCUAAUACAUGCAAGUCGAGCGAACGGACGAGAAGCUUGCUCCUCUGACGUUAGCGGCGGACGGGUGAGUAACACGUGGAUAACCUACCUAUAAGACUGGGAUAACUUCGGGAAACCGGAGCUAAUACCGGAUGAUAUUUUGAACCGCAUGGUUCAAAAGUGAAAGACGGUUUUGCUGUCACUUAUAGAUGGAUCCGCGCCGCAUUAGCUAGUUGGUAAGGUAACGGCUUACCAAGGCAACGAUGCGUAGCCGACCUGAGAGGGUGAUCGGCCACACUGGAACUGAGACACGGUCCAGACUCCUACGGGAGGCAGCAGUAGGGAAUCUUCCGCAAUGGGCGAAAGCCUGACGGAGCAACGCCGCGUGAGUGAUGAAGGUCUUCGGAUCGUAAAACUCUGUUAUUAGGGAAGAACAUAUGUGUAAGUAACUGUGCACGUCUUGACGGUACCUAAUCAGAAAGCCACGGCUAACUACGUG
RNAcentral lists this ribosomal RNA (497 nucleotides) under uncultured bacterium. RNAcentral describes it as "partial 16S ribosomal RNA". It matches the Rfam family "Bacterial small subunit ribosomal RNA", at positions 28 to 507 of the family's 1533-position model. The record is from RNAcentral.